AGAACUAAUAAUAUUUAGAAUCAAAUGAAGGAGUAACGUCCCAAAGGGUUCUCCCUAAUACUCCGACAUGCAUAUAUAUGGCAAGAUAUAUAUGUAUGAAGCUCGGUGAAGACGACUAAGACUUCUCCCUAACAGAUAGUUCUGAGGAAAUGUGAACCAGAGGUGGUCAAGAGAUUUAUAGGUCGGGGGUUAAUAA
This 196-nucleotide non-coding RNA is filed under the name insect gut metagenome. The record is from RNAcentral.